UCCCAGUGAUAAUAGCUACCACCUAGGAUCAAAUUAUUCUGUGUGUUUGCAUGCACAAAUAUUGGUCAAGUAUUAUUUCCCUUUUUAGACAUGGCAUAAGAAGACCAGAGAGGUCAAAUGGCUUAACCAAGAUCAUGUAGAAGACAAAGGCUUUGAAACCAGGCUUGAGUGUUGUCCAUGACCUCUGCUCUUAACUGCAAGGUUAAGGCAUUUGUGGAAGCCCCUGCCCUGUGCUGACCACAGAGUAAGGUGUUUAAUGCUGUGGGGUUCUCUACUGAAAAAGCAGGAGGAUCCUUGGGUCCACUACUGGGUAGGCCCCAGCAGGAGAUUGAAGACCAUUUCUUCAGGUUUCCAGACUGUCAAUGCUCAGGUGUUCCUGGGUUAGGAAUGAAAAAGGAUAGAAGAGAUUGUGAGUUUGGACUUCUUGGAAAUGAUCUGUGAUGUAGCAGCCUCUGUAGACUGAAGUACGUAUUUUGAGCUUUUGUGUCCGCCGGCAAGAAAGACGCAACAAACCGGAAUCUUCUGCGGCAAAAGCUUUAUUGCUUACUUCUUCAGGAGCAAGAGAGAAAAAAUGGCAAAACCCCGUCCCUUUUAAGGAGAAUUAUCCUCCGCCUAGGACGUGCCGCUCCCUGAUUGGCUGCAGCCCAUUGGCCGAGUUGUCGUCACUGGGAAGGCAGAGCACAUGGAGUGAAGAACUACUCCUGGCACAUGCGCAGAUUAUUUGUUUACCACUUAGAACACAGGAUGUCAGCGCCAUCUUGUAACGGCGAAUGUGAGGGCGGCUCCCCACAAGUAUGCAUUGCCCCCUGCAGGUAAAGAAGUCUGUGGAGAAAGCUUCAUCUGGAAAGAGCUCUGCUUUCUCACUCAUCCUCCAUGUUCUACAGCCUUGUUUUAAAUGAUUCCUUCCACCUCUAUCAUGGAUUUAACCACCAUCCUGUCAUUACAACAUCUUCAUAUCAAGGAUGCAGUUCAUUUCCAUUGCCUGUGUACCCAGUCCUGGCUACAAGCUGUGUUCCUGUACCCAACCUCAUACAAAUUCAAACUAUGGGCAAUGUGAUUGGUUACCAGCCUCAGGUCUGUCUGUUGGAGACCAGCUCAAAGUCCAGCCGAGGACUAAGGUGAAGUGAAACUGUUGUGGGGAGCCAGGCUAAACCACUGUCUCCUAUAUAGCUGACUAGCAAGGAGGCUCCCCAUCAACAAUGAAAGUGAAGAUUAGAACCUACUGGUUAUACCAUAUAUGCGUGGAAGGGACCAGGCCUCUUCAACUGGCUGAGGUUGGCAAAGGAAGAAAGCUGACUGGAGAAUCACUAAGCACUCUGCAGAUCUCCUCCACAGCUCAGACUUUCCCCGAUACCCUCUGGGAACCUGGCGAGGGAACCACUCUGCUUAUAGAUGUUUAAGUCAUUCUUGUGGAUGUGCCCAGAGUCCACAAAGAGAUUGGCGGCAUCUGACACAAGCAACAGCAAAGUUAACUCAGAGGUCAUUGUGUCUGCUGCCUCUGGCAGGAAUUUCUUAGGGCUUUUCUGGUGAUAUGACACCCCAGGUUAUGAGCGUCUUCGUAUCAAUGGUCACUUGUGACGAAGUACUAUCCUCUGGCUCCAGCCAUCAUCCAUCUCUGAGUAAUUCUCACCUACAGCUGAGGGGUCUGUCCUCUGGAACUACAGUGAUGUAGGUGCCUCUGCUCAGAGCCACCAGUGAUGACAGCUUUAUCCAAGAUGAAAUCCUCCACACUUGAGAGGUACGAUAGUGUGUAUUGCAUUAGGCAUCAGAAAGACUUAGCUUUAAACCUUACCUCAACAACUUAUUCACUCUGUGAUUGAGAAACUCAGCCUCUCUGAGCCACAGUAUAGCCAUCCAUAAAAUGAGUACACUUUUUUGGCAUUGUGAGGCUGUAACACAUAGAAAAACCAUUGCCAAU
Long non-coding RNA from Mus musculus (house mouse), 1918 nucleotides. RefSeq annotates it as predicted gene, 32263. NCBI's taxonomy places the organism in Eukaryota, Metazoa, Chordata, Mammalia, Rodentia, Muridae. The record is from RefSeq and is a predicted model, not a curated record. The transcript has 3 exons.